Molecule: small RNA, 28 nt
Filed under: Bombyx mori (domestic silkworm)
Lineage: Eukaryota; Metazoa; Arthropoda; Insecta; Lepidoptera; Bombycidae
Description: ovarian small RNA-35264
Source: RNAcentral
UGUAAAAUGGUUUUAAAUCUAAGAUUGA